RNAcentral lists this ribosomal RNA (867 nucleotides) under uncultured bacterium. RNAcentral describes it as "bacterial SSU rRNA". It matches the Rfam family "Bacterial small subunit ribosomal RNA", at positions 54 to 911 of the family's 1533-position model. The record is from RNAcentral.
CAUGCAAGUCGAGGGGAAACGACAUCGAAAGCUUGCUUUUGAUGGGCGUCGACCGGCGCACGGGUGAGUAACGCGUAUCCAACCUGCCCACCACUUGGGGAUAACCUUGCGAAAGUAAGACUAAUACCCAAUGAUAUCUCUAGAAGACAUCUGAAAGAGAUUAAAGAUUUAUCGGUGAUGGAUGGGGAUGCGUCUGAUUAGCUUGUUGGCGGGGUAACGGCCCACCAAGGCGACGAUCAGUAGGGGUUCUGAGAGGAAGGUCCCCCACAUUGGAACUGAGACACGGUCCAAACUCCUACGGGAGGCAGCAGUGAGGAAUAUUGGUCAAUGGACGAGAGUCUGAACCAGCCAAGUAGCGUGCAGGAUGACGGCCCUAUGGGUUGUAAACUGCUUUUAUAAGGGAAUAAAGUGAGUCUCGUGAGACUUUUUGCAUGUACCUUAUGAAUAAGGACCGGCUAAUUCCGUGCCAGCAGCCGCGGUAAUACGGAAGGUCCGGGCGUUAUCCGGAUUUAUUGGGUUUAAAGGGAGCGUAGGCCGGAGAUUAAGCGUGUUGUGAAAUGUAGAUGCUCAACAUCUGCACUGCAGCGCGAACUGGUUUCCUUGAGUACGCACAAAGUGGGCGGAAUUCGUGGUGUAGCGGUGAAAUGCUUAGAUAUCACGAAGAACUCCGAUUGCGAAGGCAGCUCACUGGAGCGCAACUGACGCUGAAGCUCGAAAGUGCGGGUAUCGAACAGGAUUAGAUACCCUGGUAGUCCGCACGGUAAACGAUGGAUGCCCGCUGUUGGUCUGAAUAGGUCAGCGGCCAAGCGAAAGCAUUAAGCAUCCCACCUGGGGAGUACGCCGGCAACGGUGAAACUCAAAGGAAUU